This 253-nucleotide ribosomal RNA is filed under the name uncultured bacterium. Its description in RNAcentral is "partial 16S ribosomal RNA". It matches the Rfam family "Bacterial small subunit ribosomal RNA", at positions 524 to 776 of the family's 1533-position model. The record is from RNAcentral.
UACGUAGGUGGCAAGCGUUGUCCGGAUUUACUGGGCGUAAAGAGCGCGCAGGCGGUCGUUCAAGUCGCGUGUGAAAGCCCCCGGCUCAACUGGGGAGGGUCACGCGAUACUGAUCGACUCGAAGGCAGGAGAGGGUAGUGGAAUUCCCGGUGUAGUGGUGAAAUGCGUAGAUAUCGGGAGGAACACCUGCGGCGAAGGCGGGUUGCUGGGCUGACACUGACGCUGAGGCGCGAAAGCUAGGGGAGCGAACGGG